UGUUUGCUCAAAUCAAACCUUUCUCAGAAGUAAAUACUACCUAUUAUUUCAUGUAUUGAUAGGAAGAGAUGUUGGGUGAUGUCAUCUAGUCUCUUGUAUUUUAUUGUAACCAGAGGUUGCAGAAAGAUUGACAGGGACUGUGUGUUUAGUCGUUUAGUCGUGUCCGACUCUUCGUGACCCCAUGGACCAGAGCACGCCAGGCCCUCCUGUCUUCUACUGCCUCCCGGAGUUGUGUCAGGUUCAUGUUGGUUGCUUCGCAGACACUGUCCAGCCAUCUCAUCCUCGGUCGUCCCCUUCUCCUUCUCAGAAGUAAACACUACCUAUUAUUUCAUGUAGGAAGAGAUGUUGGGUGAUGUCAUCUAGUCUCUUGCAUUUUAUUGUAACCAGAGGCCGCAGAAAGAUUGACAGGGACUAUACAGAAUCAGUUCCUUGACUUCAGGCUGCUUUGGAACAUGUUGACAUUCCGGACUAUAUAGAAUCAAUUCCUUGACCUCAGGCUGCUUUGGAACAUGUUGACAUUCCAAUGCCUCAUAAAGAGCGGAAUGUUCUUCUGCUUCCCCGGAGACAGUCCAGCCAAAGAAUCAAGGGUUCCCAUAGCCCAAUCGAGCAAUGCCACCACAAUGCCAGAACAACAACGACCGAGACCCCAGCUCCAAGCAAUAUUAAACACGUUUUAAAUGCUAGCAGUUAUUGACAAAGAGCAAACAGAUUUUGCCAUCAAGGUGAGCUUUCUGUGUGUGUCCCUCUGCAAAUUGUCACAUAUCCAUAUCCAUUCAUGAACCUGCUGUGUUUGAAAGUGAUAACUACAGAAUUAAAGCUAAAAACAAGC
RNAcentral lists this long non-coding RNA (829 nucleotides) under Pogona vitticeps (central bearded dragon). RNAcentral's name for it is "lncRNA (ENSPVIG00000003761.1)". The record is from RNAcentral. Lineage: Eukaryota; Metazoa; Chordata; Lepidosauria; Squamata; Agamidae.